UCUCCGUUGGUGAACCAGCGGAGGGAUCAUUACCGAGUGCAAACUCAUAACCCUUUGUGAACCUAUAUCUGUUGCUUCGGCGGCUCGCUCUCGGGCGAGCCCGCCGGUAAUAUCAAUAUCUCUGUUUGAACCCGACGAUACUUCUGAGUGUUCUUAGCGAACAGUUAAAACUUUUAACAACGGAUCUCUUGGCUCUA
This 197-nucleotide unclassified non-coding RNA is filed under the name plant metagenome. RNAcentral describes it as "partial contains small subunit ribosomal RNA, internal transcribed spacer 1, and 5.8S ribosomal RNA". The record is from RNAcentral.